ACGAACGCUGGCGGCGUGCUUAACCCCUGCCAGUCGCACGGAAAGGCCCUGCUUUUGUGGGGUGCUCGAGUGGCGAACGGGUGAGUAACACGUGAGUAACCUGCCCUUGACUUUGGGAUAACUUCAGGAAACUGGGGCUAAUACCGGAUAGGAGCUCCUGCUGCAUGGUGGGGGUUGGAAAGUUUCGGCAGUUGGGGAUGGACUCGCGGCUUAUCAGCUUGUUGGUGGGGUAGUGGCUUACCAAGGCUUUGACGGGUAGCCGGCCUGAGAGGGUGACCGGCCACAUUGGGACUGAGAUACGGCCCAGACUCCUACGGGAGGCAGCAGUGGGGAAUAUUGCACAAUGGGCGGAAGCCUGAUGCAGCAACGCCGCGUGCGGGAUGACGGCCUUCGGGUUGUAAACCGCUUUCGCCUGUGACGAAGCGUGAGUGACGGUAAUGGGUAAAGAAGCACCGGCUAACUACGUG
Molecule: ribosomal RNA, 467 nt
Filed under: uncultured bacterium
Lineage: Bacteria
Description: partial 16S ribosomal RNA
Rfam family: Bacterial small subunit ribosomal RNA
Source: RNAcentral